GACGAACGCUGGCGGCGUGCUUAACACAUGCAAGUCGAACGGAAAGGCCCUGCUUGCAGGGUACUCGAGUGGCGAACGGGUGAGUAACACGUGGGUGAUCUGCCCGGCACUUCGGGAUAAGCCUGGGAAACUGGGUCUAAUACCGGAUAGGAGCCAUUUUUAGUGUGAUGGUUGGAAAGUUUUUUUCGGUGUAGGAUGAGCUCGCGGCCUAUCAGCUUGUUGGUGGGGUAAUGGCCUACCAAGGCGGCGACGGGUAGCCGGCCUGAGAGGGUGGACGGCCACAUUGGGACUGAGAUACGGCCCAGACUCCUACGGGAGGCAGCAGUGGGGAAUAUUGCACAAUGGGCGCAAGCCUGAUGCAGCGACGCCGCGUGGGGGAUGACGGCCUUCGGGUUGUAAACUCCUUUCGCUAGGGACGAAGCUUUUUGUGACGGUACCUAGAGAAGAAGCACCGGCUAACUACGUG
This 466-nucleotide ribosomal RNA is filed under the name uncultured bacterium. RNAcentral's name for it is "partial 16S ribosomal RNA". It matches the Rfam family "Bacterial small subunit ribosomal RNA", at positions 28 to 507 of the family's 1533-position model. The record is from RNAcentral.